UACCCGCGACAGGACGGAAAGACCCCGUGGAGCUUUACUGUAGCCUGAUAUUGAAAUUCGGCACAGCUUGUACAGGAUAGGUAGGAGCCUUUGAAACGUGAGCGCUAGCUUACGUGGAGGCGCUGGUGGGAUACUACCCUAGCUGUGUUGGCUUUCUAACCCGCACCACUUAUCGUGGUGGGAGACAGUGUCAGGCGGGCAGUUUGACUGGGGCGGUCGCCUCCUAAAAGGUAACGGAGGCGCUCAAAGGUUCCCUCAGAAUGGUUGGAAAUCAUUCAUAGAGUGUAAAGGCAUAAGGGAGCUUGACUGCGAGACCUACAAGUCG
RNAcentral lists this ribosomal RNA (325 nucleotides) under Staphylococcus haemolyticus. RNAcentral describes it as "partial 23S ribosomal RNA". It matches the Rfam family "Bacterial large subunit ribosomal RNA", at positions 2067 to 2391 of the family's 2925-position model. Lineage: Bacteria; Bacillati; Bacillota; Bacilli; Caryophanales; Staphylococcaceae. The record is from RNAcentral.